Paramuricea clavata is the source of this 231-nucleotide non-coding RNA. NCBI's taxonomy places the organism in Eukaryota, Metazoa, Cnidaria, Anthozoa, Malacalcyonacea, Plexauridae. The record is from the annotation of a GenBank genome assembly.
CUACAGUCUGCGUAUGCAGCGCUGAUCUGGUAUGCAGUAUGUGUAAAUACGAAUCGCGGUAGUCAAGACGCGAGAAAGAAAAAAGAAUUUGCUUGUCCAAGUUAAUAUCACCAAAAUAUUGUGAUUUUACAACAGUAUUAAAGCUAGAAGAUAUUACAGCUUUCAAGGGAUGUAAAAAGGAUCAAAUUUUUCAGGAUCUUCCGCCUUCCGGUUGGAAAUUUUGAGAACGAU